AGCAGGCGCGCUACCUGCAGUCGGACGGUAGCACAGAGGAGCUUGCUCCUCGGGUGACGAGUGGCGGACGGGUGAGUAGUGUCUGGGGAUCUGCCCGAUAGAGGGGGAUAACCACUGGAAACGGUGGCUAAUACCGCAUAACGUCGCAAGACCAAAGAGGGGGACCUUCGGGCCUCUCACUAUCGGAUGAACCCAGAUGGGAUUAGCUAGUAGGCGGGGUAACGGCCCACCUAGGCGACGAUCCCUAGCUGGUCUGAGAGGAUGACCAGCCACACUGGAACUGACACACGGUCCAGACUCCUACGGGAGGCAGCAGUGGGGAAUAUUGCACAGUGGGCGCAAGCCUGAUGCACCCGUGCCGCGUGUAUGAAGAAGGCCUUCGGGUUGUAAAGUACUUUCAGCGGGGAGGAAGGCGAUGUGGUUAAUAACCGUGUCGAUUGACGUUACCCGCAGAAGAAGCACCGGCUAACUCCGUGCCAGCAGCCGCGGUAAUACAGAGGGUGCAAGCGUUAAUCGGAAUUACUGGGCGUAAAGCGCACGCACGCGGUCUGUUAAGUCAGAUGUGAAAUCCCCGGUCUUAACCUGAGAACUGCAUUUGACACUGGCAGGCUUGAGUCUCGUAGAGGGGGGUAGAAUUCCGGGUGUAGCGGUGAAAUGCGUAGAGAUCUGGAAGAAUACCGGUGGCGAACGCGGCCCCCUGGACGAAGACUGACGCUCAUGUGCGAAAGCGUGGAGAGCACACAGGAUUAUAUACCCUGGUAGUCCACGCCGUACACGAUGUCGACUUGGAUGGUGUUCCCUUGAAGAGUGUCUUCCGGAGCUAACGCGUUACUCCACCGCCGGGGAGUACGGCCGCAGGUUAAACUCAAUGAUUGACGGGGCCCGCACAGCGGGGAUGUGUGUUUUAUUCGUGCACGCGAAAUCUUACCUACUCUUGACUCCAGAAAUUCGCAGAGUGCUUAGUGCUUCGGAACGUGAACAGUGCUGCUGCUGUCUCUCUCGUGUGGAAUGUGGUAGUCCCGCACGAGCGCACCCUAUCUUUGUGCGCGUUCGGCGGACUCAAGAACGCGUGAUACCGGAGAGGGGGAUGACUCAGUCAUCUGCCUUAGAUAGGCUACCACGUGCUACAUGGCCAUCAAGAGAGCGACCUCGAGGACAGCGACCUAAAGUGCGUGAUCGGAUCGGAUCUGCACUUCACUCGGAUCGGAUCCUUGAAUCGGAUCAAUGCCCGGAUACUUUCCCGCCUUGACACCCCCCGCACACUGGGAGGGUUGCAAAAGUAGGAGCUUACCUCGAGGC
Molecule: ribosomal RNA, 1299 nt
Filed under: endophytic bacterium sh755
Lineage: Bacteria
Description: partial 16S ribosomal RNA
Rfam family: Bacterial small subunit ribosomal RNA
Source: RNAcentral